GACGAACGCUGGCGGCGUGCUUAACACAUGCAAGUCGAACGGUAAGGCCCUUCGGGGUACACGAGUGGCGAACGGGUGAGUAACACGUGGGUGAUCUGCCCUGCACUUCGGGAUAAGCCUGGGAAACUGGGUCUAAUACCGGCUGGGACCCCUGCCUGCAUGGGUUGUGGGGGAAAGCUUUUGCGGUGUGGCAUGGGCCCGCGGCCUCUCAGCUUGUUGGUGGGGUGAUGGCCUACCAAGGCGACGACGGGUAGCCGGCCUCGAGAGGGUGACCGGCCACACUGGGACUGAGAUACGGCCCAGACUCCUACGGGAGGCAGCAGUGGGGAAUAUUGCACAAUGGGCGCAAGCCUGAUGCAGCGACGCCGCGUGAGGGAUGACGGCCUUCGGGUUGUAAACCUCUUUCAGCACCGACGAAGCGCAAGUGACGGUAGGUGCAGAAGAAGGACCGGCCAACUACGUGCCAGCCGCCGCCGUAA
Molecule: ribosomal RNA, 479 nt
Filed under: uncultured bacterium
Lineage: Bacteria
Description: partial 16S ribosomal RNA
Rfam family: Bacterial small subunit ribosomal RNA
Source: RNAcentral